UGGGGAAUCUUGGACAAUGGGGGCAACCCUGAUCCAGCCAUGCCGCGUGAGUGAUGAAGGCCUUAGGGUCGUAAAGCUCUUUCGCCUGUGAAGAUAAUGACGGUAGCAGGUAAAGAAACCCCGGCUAACUCCGUGCCAGCAGCCGCGGUAAUACGGAGGGGGUUAGCGUUGUUCGGAAUUACUGGGCGUAAAGCGCACGUAGGCGGACCAGAAAGUUGGGGGUGAAAUCCCGGGGGCUCAACCCCGGAACUGCCUCCAAAACUAUUGGUCUAGAGUUCGAGAGAGGUGAGUGGAAUUCCAAGUGUAGAGGUGAAAUUCGUAGAUAUUUGGAGGAACACCAGUGGCGAAGGCGGCUCACUGGCUCGAUACUGACGCUGAGGUGCGAAAGUGUGGGGAGCAAACAGGAUUAGAUACCCUGGUAGUCCACACCGUAAAACGAUGAGCACUCGGUGCCGCGGGUAUCGA
This 465-nucleotide ribosomal RNA is filed under the name uncultured bacterium. RNAcentral's name for it is "bacterial SSU rRNA". It matches the Rfam family "Bacterial small subunit ribosomal RNA", at positions 355 to 835 of the family's 1533-position model. The record is from RNAcentral.